RNAcentral lists this ribosomal RNA (491 nucleotides) under Lampridius sp. GMB-2012. RNAcentral's name for it is "partial 16S ribosomal RNA". Lineage: Eukaryota; Metazoa; Arthropoda; Insecta; Hemiptera; Cicadellidae. The record is from RNAcentral.
UAAGAAUUUAAAAGUCGAACAGACUUUGUCCUAAGAAUACUGCUUCCUAGACUUUUCUUAAUUCAACAUCGAGGUCGCAAAAAUUAAUAUAGAUAUGAACUCCCCAUUAAAAUUACGCUGUUAUCCCUAAGGUAACUUAAUCUAAAAUCUUUAAUAAGGAUCAUAAUAAUCAUUUAUUAAUGAUUUUUAAUAUUAAAGUUUAAAUUUAUCCACCACCCCAGUAAAAUAAUAAUUUUAAUUAAUUCAAUAUAUAAAAAGAAUUAAAAAAUUAAUAUAAAGUUCUAUAGGGUCUUAUCGUCCCAAUAAAUAUAUUAAGCAUUUUCACUUAAAAUUUAAAUUUUAAUAAAUAUUUGAUUUAAAAGUAAUUUCUCAUUCAUCCUUUCAUUCCAGCUCCCAAUUAAGAAACUAAUUACUAUGCUACCUUUGCACAGUCAAAAUACUGCAGCCAUUUAGAAUUAACCAUAGGGCAGAAGGUACCUUUUAAAAAAACA